GAUGAACGCUGGCGGCGUGCCUAAUACAUGCAAGUCGAGCGAACAGACGAGGAGCUUGCUCCUCUGACGUUAGCGGCGGACGGGCGAGUAACACGUGGAUAACCUACCUAUAAGACUGGGAUAACUUCGGGAAACCGGAGCUAAUACCGGAUAAUAUAUUGAACCGCAUGGUUCAAUAGUGAAAGACGGUUUUGCUUUCACUAAUAGAUGGAUCCGCGUCGCAUUAGUUAGUUGGUAAGGUAACGGCUUACCAAGGCAACGAUGAGUAGCCGACCCGAGAGGGUGAUCGCCCACACUGGAAGUGAGACCGGGCCCAGACUCCUAGGGGGGGCAGCGGAAGGGAAUCUUCCGCAAUGGGGGAAAGCUUAACGGGGCAACGCCGCGUGAGGGAUGAAGGUCUUCGGAUCGUAAAACUCUGUUGUUAGGAAAGAAGAAAUGUGUAAUUAACUGUGCACGUAUUGACGGUACCUAAUCAGAAAGCCACGGCUAACUACGUG
Molecule: ribosomal RNA, 497 nt
Filed under: uncultured bacterium
Lineage: Bacteria
Description: partial 16S ribosomal RNA
Rfam family: Bacterial small subunit ribosomal RNA
Source: RNAcentral